GGUGGUGCAUGGUUGUCGUCAGCUCGUGUCGUGAGAUGUUGGGUUAAGUCCCGCAACGAGUGCAACCCUUAAGCUUAGUUGCCAUCAUUAAGUUGGGCACUCUAGGUUGACUGCCGGUGACAAACCGGAGGAAGGUGGGGAUGACGUCAAAUCAUCAUGCCCCUUAUGAUUUGGGCUACACACGUGCUACAAUGGACAAUACAAAGGGCAGCUAAACCGCGAGGUCAUGCAAAUCCCAUAAAGUUGUUCUCAGUUCGGAUUGUAGUCUGCAACUCGACUACAUGAAGCUGGAAUCGCUAGUAAUCGUAGAUCAGCAUGCUACGGUGAAUACGUUCCCGGGUCUUGUACACAC
RNAcentral lists this ribosomal RNA (352 nucleotides) under uncultured bacterium. RNAcentral describes it as "bacterial SSU rRNA". It matches the Rfam family "Bacterial small subunit ribosomal RNA", at positions 1037 to 1390 of the family's 1533-position model. The record is from RNAcentral.